UCAGUCGACUCCUACGGGGAGGCAGCAGUCGGGGAAUAUUGCACAAUGGGGGAAACCCUGAUGCAGCCAUGCCGCGUGUGUGAAGAAGGCCUUCGGGUGUUAAAGCACUUUCAGUAGGGAGGAAGGUAGUGUAGUUAACACCUGCAUUAUUUGACGUUACCUACAGAAGAAGCACCGGCUAACUCCGUGCCAGCAGCCGCGGUAAUACGGAGGGUGCGAGCGUUAAUCGGAAUUACUGGGCGUAAAGCGCAUGCAGGCGGCCUGUUAAGUCAGAUGUGAAAGCCCGGGGCUUAACCUCGGAAUUGCAUUUGAAACUGGCAGGCUAGAGUCUUGUAGAGGGGGGUAGGAAUUUCAGGUGUAGCGGUGAAAUGCGUAGAGAUCUGAAGGAAUACCAGUGGCGAAGGCGGCCCCCUGGACAAAGACUGACGCUCAGAUGCGAAAGCGUGGGGAGCAAACAGGAUUAGAUACCCUGGUAG
This 476-nucleotide ribosomal RNA is filed under the name uncultured bacterium. RNAcentral describes it as "bacterial SSU rRNA". It matches the Rfam family "Bacterial small subunit ribosomal RNA", at positions 328 to 793 of the family's 1533-position model. The record is from RNAcentral.